This 90-nucleotide transfer RNA is filed under the name Planctomycetota bacterium. Its description in RNAcentral is "tRNA-Ser". It matches the Rfam family "tRNA". Rfam says of the family: Transfer RNA (tRNA) molecules are approximately 80 nucleotides in length. Their secondary structure includes four short double-helical elements and three loops (D, anti-codon, and T loops). Further hydrogen bonds mediate the characteristic L-shaped molecular structure. tRNAs have two regions of fundamental functional importance: the anti-codon, which is responsible for specific mRNA codon recognition, and the 3' end, to which the tRNAs corresponding amino acid is attached (by aminoacyl-tRNA synthetases). tRNAs cope with the degeneracy of the genetic code in two manners: having more than one tRNA (with a specific anti-codon) for a particular amino acid; and 'wobble' base-pairing, i.e. permitting non-standard base-pairing at the 3rd anti-codon position. Lineage: Bacteria; Pseudomonadati; Planctomycetota. The record is from RNAcentral.
GGAGAGGUGCGUGAGCGGUUGAAACGACACGAUUGGAAAUCGUGUGACGCCGAAAGGUGUCCGUGGGUUCGAAUCCCACCCUCUCCGCCA